RNAcentral lists this ribosomal RNA (460 nucleotides) under uncultured bacterium. RNAcentral's name for it is "partial 16S ribosomal RNA". It matches the Rfam family "Bacterial small subunit ribosomal RNA", at positions 338 to 795 of the family's 1533-position model. The record is from RNAcentral.
CCUACGGGAGACAGCAGUGAGGAAUAUUGGUCAAUGGACGCAAGUCUGAACCAGCCAUGCCGCGUGCAGGAAGACGGCUCUAUGAGUUGUAAACUGCUUUUGUACGAGGGUAAACGCAGAUACGCGUAUCUGUCUGAAAGUAUCGUACGAUUAAGGAUCGGCUAACUCUGUGCCAGCAGCCGCGGUAAUACGGAGGAUUUAAGCGUUAUCCGGAUUUAUUGGGUUGAAAGGGUGCGUAGGCGGUCGGGUAAGUUAGAGGUGAAAUCCCGAGGCUCAACUUGGGAAUUGCAUGUGAUACUGUGAGGCUAGAGAGUAGGUGAGGUAGGCGGAAUGUAUGGUGUAGCGGUAAAAUGCUUAGAGAUCAUACAGAACACCGAUUGCGAAGGCAGCUUACCAGAAUACUUCUGACGUUGAGGCACGAAAGCGUGGGGAGCAAACAGGAUUAGAUACCCGGGUAGUC